This 496-nucleotide ribosomal RNA is filed under the name uncultured bacterium. RNAcentral's name for it is "partial 16S ribosomal RNA". It matches the Rfam family "Bacterial small subunit ribosomal RNA", at positions 29 to 507 of the family's 1533-position model. The record is from RNAcentral.
AUGAACGCUGGCGGCGUGCCUAAUACAUGCAGGUCGAGCGAACGGACGAGAAGCUUGCUUCUCUGAUGUUAGCGGCGGACGGGUGAGUAACACGUGGAUAACCUACCUAUAAGACUGGGGUAACUUCGGGAAACCGGAGCUAAUACCGGAUAAUAUUUUGAACCGCAUGGUUCAAAAGUGAAAGACGGUCUUGCUGUCACUUAUAGAUGGAUCCGCGCUGCAUUAGCUAGUUGGUAAGGUAACGGCUUACCAAGGCAACGAUGCAUAGCCGACCUGAGAGGGUGAUCGGCCACACUGGAACUGAGACACGGUCCAGACUCCUACGGGAGGCAGCAGUAGGGAAUCUUCCGCAAUGGGCGAAAGCCUGACGGAGCAACGCCGCGUGAGUGAUGAAGGUCUUCGGAUCGUAAAACUCUGUUAUUAGGGAAGAACAUAUGUGUAAGUAACUGUGCACAUCUUGACGGUACCUAAUCAGAAAGCCACGGCUAACUACGUG